This 490-nucleotide ribosomal RNA is filed under the name uncultured Eubacteriales bacterium. Its description in RNAcentral is "bacterial SSU rRNA". It matches the Rfam family "Bacterial small subunit ribosomal RNA", at positions 32 to 523 of the family's 1533-position model. The record is from RNAcentral. Lineage: Bacteria; Bacillati; Bacillota; Clostridia; Eubacteriales.
AACGCUGGCGGCGCGCUUAACACGUGCAAGUCGAGCGAUGAAAUUUCGACAGAUCCCUUCGGGGUGAAGAUGAAAUGGAUUAGCGGCGGACGGGUGAGUAACACGUGAGUAACCUGCCUUUGACAUUGGGAUAGCCUCGGGAAACUGGGAUUAAUACCAAAUGACACUAACUGAUCACAUGAUCAAUUAGUCAAAGAACAUCGGUCAAAGAUGGACUCGCGGCUGAUUAGCUAGUUGGUGAGGUAACGGCCCACCAAGGCGACGAUCAGUAGCCGGCCUGAGAGAGUGUACGGCCACAUUGGGACUGAGACACGGCCCAAACUCCUACGGGAGGCAGCAGUGGGGAAUUUUGCACAAUGGGGGAAACCCUGAUGCAGCGACGCCGCGUGAUUUAGAAGGCCUUCGGGUUGUAAAAAUCUUUUUUACGGGAUGAAAAUGACAGUACCGUAAGAAUAAGGUCCGGCUAAAUACGUGCCAGCCGCCGCGGUAA